RNAcentral lists this ribosomal RNA (468 nucleotides) under uncultured bacterium. RNAcentral's name for it is "partial 16S ribosomal RNA". It matches the Rfam family "Bacterial small subunit ribosomal RNA", at positions 28 to 507 of the family's 1533-position model. The record is from RNAcentral.
GACGAACGCUGGCGGCGUGCUUAACACAUGCAAGUCGAACGGAAAGGCCCUGCUUUUGUGGGGUGCUCGAGUGGCGAACGGGUGAGUAACACGUGAGUAACCUGCCCUUGACUUUGGGAUAACUUCAGGAAACUGGGGCUAAUACCGGAUAGGAGCUCCUGCUGCAUGGUGGGGGUUGGAAAGUUUCGGCGGUUGGGGAUGGACUCGCGGCUUAUCAGCUUGUUGGUGGGGUAGUGGCUUACCAAGGCUUUGACGGGUAGCCGGCCUGAGAGGGUGACCGGCCACAAUGGGACUGAGAUACGGCCCAGACUACUACGGGAGGCAGCAGUGGGGAAUAUUGCACAAUGGGAGGAAGCCUGAUGCAGCAACGCCGCGUGCGGGAUGACGGCCUUCGGGUUGUAAACCGCUUUCGCCUGUGACGAAGCGUGAGUGACGGUAAUGGGUAAAGAAGCACCGGCUAACUACGUG